GCGAGCGAUAGCGGAGGAAUUGUCUCAAACAGAUAAUUAAGAUGAUUGGACAUCUAGACUAAACCCCGAUAGACACCUAUAUAUAAAGUACCGUGAGGGAAAGACUCAGAAUUGGUUCUAAAAGUUACCUUUUGCAUAAUGGGCCUGCAAGAUAAGAUUUGGCAAGCUUAAGUAUUGAAUGAAGGCGUAGUGAAAGCAAGAGAAAAACUCGUCAGUCAAAUCUCCCGAAACCAAGUGAUCUAACCAUGGCCAGGUAGGAGUAUACUCCUGACCGAACCAGUGAUUGUGGCAAAAAUCUUGGAUGAGCUGUGGUUAGCGGUGAAAUACUAGUCGAACUUGGAUAUAGCUGGUUCUCUACGAAACUUAUCUUAGUAAGGCAUUCCAAGUUGAUUCGCCCCCAAACCAGGGGGCCUGAAUUACUGGUGUAGUCAGACUAUGGCGAUAAGGCCCCUAGUCAAAAGGGGUAAGCCCUAACCAUAAAUUAAAGUCGCUAAUACAGAUUAAGUGUAUAAAGAGGGUCCGACUUAGACAAACAGGAAGUAGGCUUGGAAACAGCCAUCUGCACAGGAAAACGUAAAAGUUCACUGAAUGAGCUAGGAAACUCUAAGAAUUAAGGCGGCUAAAUCUGUAACUGAAAUUAUGGGAGCCAGAUGGCAACCGUAAGGAAGCAUCAAUUGGCUUGGUAGUAGAGCGUUCUGUAUGCAUCCACCUCGUGAGAUAAACAGAAGUGAUAAUGCAGGCAUGAGUAGUACAGGAUUCACUCCCAAAUAAAAUGUUUAUACAACUCCUAAGGGCAUUACGCCCGAUGGAUUAUAAUUCUUGUACCUGUUCAGGAAAAUUAUUAUAGUGCAUAGCACUUACUUUCGAUUGUUAUUUAUGGGACUUAGAUCUAGGCAUAAUUUCUCUUAAGGAACUCGGCAAAAUAAGAUCUCGACUGUUUACCAAAAACAUAGCUCUCUGCUAAAGGUUUACUGAAGUAUAGAGGGUGAAUUCUGCCCAAUGGUUGUAUAGUGAAACUGAGGACUAACGUCUAAAGCGAAACCCAACUGAAUGGCCGCGGUAACUCUGACCGUGAUAAUGUAGCACAAUAAAUAGCCAAUUAAUUGUUGGCGGGUAUGAAUGGAACCACGAGGGUCUUACUGUCUCAAGAGGAAAGCCGAUGAAAUUAUAAUUGUAGUGAAGAUACUACAUAAACAUUGUAAGACGAAAAGACCCUAUCGAGCUUUACUGGAUACCGAUAGCGUUAAUUUAGAAUGAUCGAUACUAAGUAUCCUAAUUCUAAGUUAAUAAUUUUUGUUGGUAGGACAGUUUAGUUGGGGCGACUACCUUUGAAUAAGAAACGAAGGCGAGCUUAUGGUAUUAAUAAAAUCUCAUUAGCCUGACAGUGAGGGGGACACCCCUAGCUGGCACAAGGAAACCCCGCGGGGGUUCCUUGUGGGCGAUAGUAACCCGAUAUGAUUAUCCAAAAUAAAUAUCGAAAGCGGAUAAAAGCUACCGUAGGGAUAACAGCGUAAUAUUGUCGGAGAGUUCUUAUCGAGGACAGUGUUUGCGACCUCGAUGUUGAAUUGCGGUGCCCUGGUGCUGUAGAAGGUACCUUAGGUUGGUCUGUUCGACCAUGAAAACCGUACAUGAUUUGAGUUCAGAGCGUGGUGACACAGCUCGGUUUCUAUCUACAAUGUUCAAUCCCAACUUUUAUGAGUCCUAGUACGCAAGGAAUGGUCUCAGCGAUGCUCGACUAUAUAGGCCCCAUCGACGUAAUCAACUUCUGGCUGCUGCAAAGAAGUCUAACAAAAGGUUUA
Molecule: ribosomal RNA, 1799 nt
Filed under: Anthoptilum grandiflorum
Lineage: Eukaryota; Metazoa; Cnidaria; Anthozoa; Scleralcyonacea; Anthoptilidae
Description: large subunit ribosomal RNA
Rfam family: Bacterial large subunit ribosomal RNA
Source: RNAcentral